GAGGUAGGAAAACCCGCUGAACUUAAGCAUAUCAAUAAGCGGAGGA
Molecule: ribosomal RNA, 46 nt
Filed under: [Candida] sp. YS43
Lineage: Eukaryota; Fungi; Ascomycota; Saccharomycetes; Saccharomycetales
Description: Candida sp. YS43 partial 28S ribosomal RNA
Source: RNAcentral